This 427-nucleotide ribosomal RNA is filed under the name uncultured bacterium. RNAcentral's name for it is "bacterial SSU rRNA". It matches the Rfam family "Bacterial small subunit ribosomal RNA", at positions 355 to 774 of the family's 1533-position model. The record is from RNAcentral.
UGGGGAAUAUUGGACAAUGGGCGCAAGCCUGAUCCAGCAAUGCCGCGUGUGUGAAGAAGGCCUUCGGGUUGUAAAGCACUUCUAUCAGGAGCGAAACGCUGUCGGCUAAUACCCGGCGGAACUGACAGUACCUGAGGAAUAAGCACCGGCUAACUUCGUGCCAGCAGCCGCGGUAAUACGAAGGGUGCAAGCGUUAAUCGGAAUUACUGGGCGUAAAGCGUGCGUAGGCGGUGACUUAAGUCUGCUGUGAAAUCCCCGGGCUCAACCUGGGAAUGGCAGUGGAUACUGGGUCGCUAGAGUGUGAUAGAGGAUGGUGGAAUUCCCGGUGUAGCGGUGAAAUGCGUAGAGAUCGGGAGGAACAUCAGUGGCGAAGGCGGCCAUCUGGAUCAACACUGACGCUGAGGCACGAAAGCGUGGGGAGCAAACA